Molecule: long non-coding RNA, 633 nt
Filed under: Homo sapiens (human)
Lineage: Eukaryota; Metazoa; Chordata; Mammalia; Primates; Hominidae
Description: HSALNT0393097
Source: RNAcentral
AGGAAACAAUAAAAUCACUUUAAUGUGCUACUUUUCAUUUUGAAGUCAUUACAGUAUCAUUUGCAAAACUCAACAAGGAAAGAUGCCUGUGGAUGGCCGUGUUCUGGGAGUCACUGUGAUGAGCCAGGUUCUCACACGUCCCUGAGGAACUAGAGAGGAACGCCUCUGGGAAGCCCAGCCAGAGCCAACCGGAAGGGCCUUUUGGUGAAGUCUGACAUCCUACAUUAGUUUCUCUGGACCUGGCCUCGCAGGAGUUUCCAGCUCAUGAGGGCAGAGGAGAUGAAGAGAGGCCGAUCGACGUGAGGGUUGUGCAGGCGGCCCCUCUGAGGUGUGACUCCAGUAAGUACUCUGGAAUUACUUGCUGAGAAAGAAAAGUCUGGAUGCCAAGAAAGUAGAUGAUGCAUAUCUGAACCUGGAAACCGCUUCCCACUGUAGAGCGUGUCUGAGUCAUGUCCCUUAGCUUCAGCAGAGCAGAUCCAGCAGGCUCUGAGCUUGGCCUCUUUGCCUGGAGCGAGACCUCUAGGUAAUGUCUCCAGAGAGGGUGGCACAAAGGAUCCUGGAUCUCCUGAUCACAGCAGCCCAAGAGUGCCGUGCGUGCACCAUGGCUCAAGAAGAAGACUUAAAAAGGGGAAA